AUAUGUGUAGUGAUGGCUAAGUCUACUGGGUAUAAUUAAGCCCAAAUUCAGUUUGAGAGAGUUAUCUGUACAAGAAGCUCAGAAUUGCAACCUUACCAUCAUUUUCAUAACUCCUACAAAUGCAGAUGCUUGUGCUUUCUCUAGCCCAAAUGCAGCUUUUGGAAACAGUGGAUGCAUUUGUGCGAGAGAUAAGACAGAGGGAAAGUAAUUGAUGUGCAGAAUGCAACUGGUUAUUUUUGAAGUACAAACUUUAAGUUGGGGAUUAUGUGCUGUCAAGAAAGGUUAUCAGUUUGAUCAAAUUCAAAUUUGGGGAUCCGAGUAUUGUGGAAGGGACAAUAGUGAAAAUGAAAAUGGAAAUAAUUCUUUUUAUAGUCCCCAGUAUUCAACAUGACUUAUAAUGGAUAGUGAUAUCAGAUAUGUAUAUGCUUGUGAAGGUACAUGACUCUCAUGAUCCCUUGAGGAUACAAUCCUCUAAUUUAGAGAAAGUUUCUUUCGGCUUUACUGUUGGAGAUUGGGUUCGGCUGCAAAGGUCAAGUUUGCAGGGUUCAAGUUCUGGGAAGUGUCACAUCGUCCACGUCAGUCAUUUCCUCGUUAGACGGCUGGGCCGGAAGGGCAAAUAAAAGCAAUUAAAUGUUCUCAAUAAGGAGAGGAUGGAGAGGUCUGUCCCGAAAAGGAAGCGGUUAAAUCACACAAAAUGGUAGUCUACGGUUUUCAAAAAUCAAAUAUUCAGAGUUAAAAUCUUCAUGUUCAUACUGUAUUUUGCCGUUCUAAAAGUUUGUCGGAGUGCCAUUUUGUGUAGAGAUUAGUUUGUACCUCCUCAAAAUCGUGCUAAUCCCCAAUGUUGUGUGGAGCUGAACACCUAUUCGCUGCGAGCUUCUCCCUCUGCAGGAGCCCUCUCUUCGCAUUAAUCGCCUGCAAAAAGGGACGGCGGAAGGGCAUGCAUUAAGGGGGAUUUAAUAGCUUGAAUGAAAGCCCCUGACCCGUUUUUUAGAUUGUACGCAGAGAGGAGACCCGAAGGGCGGGCCGGGGCCAGGAGUCAGGGUGGAAGCAUGGAGGCACAAUAAUUGUUGGAGGGAAGAAGUCCCUCAAAGAAAUGCCAUGGAAUGAAAUAAUUGCAGGAUAUGCACAGUAUGGUCUCAUUGAACGCAAUGAUUGCAGGAUAUGCGCAGUAUAGUGGUUUAUGGAAGAAGCUUUCAGGAUUUUGAAAGAAAUGCCUCAAGAAAUGUGGUCUCGUGGGUUACCAUUGUUGCAGGGUAUGCACAAAACGGAUUUGUUUAAAAGAUUUUGAAACUUUUAGGCAAAAUGCAAAUUGCAAGUCUAAAGCCAGACACCACAACCCUCGCCGGCAUCCUUCCUGCUAGGUAACGCAAUGAGAGCUUUUGAAGAGGUUAGGGACGCCCAUCAAAGCAUAAUAAAAUGGCGCGAGAAAGGGUGUUCUGUCAGAGUGUUGGAUGCCCAUUGAAGCAGAGAGGAUAGAGGAAUUUCGAGAGAGAGGGAUGUGCAGGUGCGUUGAGAAGCUGUGGAGAAUCCCUCUGCAAAUCGUCUGCAAGGUUUUAUGCAAUAGAAGUAAACAUCUCUAGAAUAGAUUUAAUGGCUUCUUCAGCGGGUCAAUGCCAGUUUUGAUAUACUAACCCUCGUCGAAGGUUUUGCAUCUCAGAAAUCUUUCAUGGGAAUUCAUGGAGGAGGAGCUCGUGGAGCUCUGUAAACCCUUUGGCAAAAUCGUCACCACUAAAUGCAACGUGGGAGCCAACCACAAUCAGGCCUUCGUUGAAUUUGUGAUCGAUCACCAAACUUCUAUAGUUCCAAGAAUCAGUUCGCUGUGUAAUAUAAUCAUCUUCCAGUCCAUUGCAAAUGAACACAUCAUUAAGUGGAUCCAAUAUGGUAUAUUCUGCAAAAGUAUGUUGAUGUGUAUGUGUUUAAUUGGGCCUUUGAAGCAUAUUCAUUCAUGUCAGAGUACAGUUGGCAUAAUGGUGCAGUCCUUUGCUUAGCAAUUGAAGCCCAUGGAUAGGUGACAACAUUUUGUGAAGUGUAGUAGAUUAGCACCUUUUGAAUUGUAUUCAGUCCAUCCUUAAAUAUGAACUCCUUAGUACCAUGUGCUAAGUAUAUUUGAACCAUAGCAAAUUCUUAUUGUGUUUCUACAAAUAUUGCUUGUAUACUAAAAAUGUUGUGGGCAAAUUCUUGGUAGGAUCUAUUUGAAAAGGUCCAGAUUUGGAGGAAAUGCAAAUUUUUUUUGAGUGUAUUACCUUUCAAAACCAUAAUUCUUCAUUGUUUGUCAAUUGUAGUUUUGUAAGACUUCCUACUGACUUGAGUUGAGAAUGUAGCCUUUCAAUAAAUUUUGUAAUUCUGUGCAGUUUGAUAUAGAGGGAGGGAAUGACCCACUUAGCUUGUCACUAUAGUUAUAGUUUAUUUAUUUUAUCAAAUUUAGAUAGAAUCAAUUCCUCUAAAUUCAGCGUUUUGUGACUUAUAAUAUUGUAUGAAACAUCUUUGAGAAAGGAAAUGUUGUAUAAAGAUGAGGGAAUAUUUCUUACGAGUUGAUUUCUAAAAAGAUUUAGCCAUUCUAGAGAAGAGAUAUUAAACAGAAAAGGGAAUGUUUUUUUGGAGUUGAUUCUUAGAAAGAGAGCUAUCACAAGUAGACAACUUGGAGAAGAGAGAUUACUUGAGUAAGAGGGGGUAUGCUUCUAUUCAAUUGGUUGAAAGCAAGUUAAACCCCACUAGGGUUGGUUAGCCUAUUGAGCAUAAAAAUAGUACUAAGGAUGGUUUCACCUACCAAAUUGUUUUCUUAUAAGUCAAGGAAAGAAAAGACACCUUGCAAAAUGACAAUGACAUGUUCCACUAAAGCUAUACCCACCUAAGCGCGAUGGUUAUGUGAGAAAAAUCUUAAUAUGUUGUAAGAGAGGUCUAUGCCUGUAAGAAACAAGAGUUUGCACAAGCAAUGCGAUAUGAUGGUCUUCAACUGAUUGAGUGUUAUCACAUUGCUUCUAGCAUAUAUCAUCUUAGAGGCGACAAUCUCUUCCUUGCUCCCAUGAACUUAGAUAGUGAUGGGAGUCAUUUAAAUGAGCUUUGAAAAUUUGAAGAGCUUGGCUUACUCAAUAUAUCUAUGGUAAAAGUGAAGAAGAAACAAUUAGAUACGAAAAUAAGAAUAGCUUGGCUAUGAGAGUUUGGGUUUAUCAACUUGUGAUUUGGCAAGGUAAUGAGAAGGAAAACAAUGUAAAAGAGAUGAGGUGUUAACACAAGGUACACGGUUGUGAAAUAACCACAAUUCAUGUGUUAAAUACUCUACAUAAUUUUCUCAUUACUUUCUAUACAAGUGGGACAACAUGCACACGUUCCGACACAUUUCACACCUUAUCUACAUGGAUGGUCAUAGAACUGAUAUAUUCACUUCUAUUAUGCAUUUAUUAUUCAUAUCUAUACAUUCAUUGCAUAGAUUCAUUAUCCACCCUAAUCUCAACAUUCUUGUAUUAGGGACCAAAUAAUAUAGGGGUGCAAUAUCAAUCCUGCACUUGCAGAUUAGAUGUCUAAUUUUUUAAAAUUUAAAUAUAAAUUUAGGCAUUACCUGUUCUUUUCUCACCUAAAUCUAACUAAACAUAUGUUUGUGUGAUAAAAUGCGAUGUACUUCCACAUUUAAAGACAUUUAUCUGUCAUUAUAAUUAAUUAAUCACAAUACAAAUUUCACAAUAAUAAUGAACAAUAAAUUGUUCGAUCCAUAAAUUCAUAAUA
Cryptomeria japonica (Japanese cedar) is the source of this 3720-nucleotide long non-coding RNA. RefSeq lists it as uncharacterized. Lineage: Eukaryota; Viridiplantae; Streptophyta; Pinopsida; Cupressales; Cupressaceae. The record is from RefSeq and is a predicted model, not a curated record. The transcript has 3 exons.